CCUACGGGGUGCAGCAGUGGGGAAUAUUGGACAAUGGGGGGAACCCUGAUCCAGCCAUGCCGCGUGUGUGAAGAAGGCCCUCGGGUUGUAAAGCACUUUCAGUGAGGAAGAACGCCUGGUGGUUAAUACCCAUCAGGAAAGACAUCACUCACAGAAGAAGCACCGGCUAACUCCGUGCCAGCAGCCGCGGUAAUACGGAGGGUGCGAGCGUUAAUCGGAAUUACUGGGCGUAAAGCGCGCGUAGGUGGCUUGAUAAGCCGGUUGUGAAAGCCCCGGGCUCAACCUGGGAACGGCAUCCGGAACUGUCAAGCUAGAGUGCAGGAGAGGAAGGUAGAAUUCCCGGUGUAGCGGUGAAAUGCGUAGAGAUCGGGAGGAAUACCAGUGGCGAAGGCGGCCUUCUGGACUGACACUGACACUGAGGUGCGAAAGCGUGGGUAGCAAACAGGAUUAGAUACCCUUGUAGUC
Molecule: ribosomal RNA, 465 nt
Filed under: Vreelandella stevensii
Lineage: Bacteria; Pseudomonadati; Pseudomonadota; Gammaproteobacteria; Oceanospirillales; Halomonadaceae
Description: partial 16S ribosomal RNA
Rfam family: Bacterial small subunit ribosomal RNA
Source: RNAcentral